AGCAGUAGCCGCGGUAAAACAGAGGGUGCGAGCGUUAAUCGGAUUUACUGGGCGUAAAGCGUGCGUAGGCGGCUUCUUAAGUCGGAUGUGAAAUCCCUGAGCUUAACUUAGGAAUUGCAUUCGAUACUGGGAAGCUAGAGUAUGGGAGAGGAUGGUAGAAUUCCAGGUGUAGCGGUGAAAUGCGUAGAGAUCUGGAGGAAUACCGAUGGCGAAGGCAGCCAUCUGGCCUAAUACUGACGCUGAGGUACGAAAGCAUGGGGAGCAAACAGGAUUAGAUACCCCGGUAGUCCCUGUCUCUUAUAC
RNAcentral lists this ribosomal RNA (303 nucleotides) under uncultured bacterium. Its description in RNAcentral is "partial 16S ribosomal RNA". It matches the Rfam family "Bacterial small subunit ribosomal RNA", at positions 507 to 807 of the family's 1533-position model. The record is from RNAcentral.